Molecule: long non-coding RNA, 1789 nt
Filed under: Solanum tuberosum (potato)
Lineage: Eukaryota; Viridiplantae; Streptophyta; Magnoliopsida; Solanales; Solanaceae
Description: long non-coding RNA (STUB_LNC005688)
Source: RNAcentral
GACGACAAUUGCCAUGCCUAGACCCAUGAGUUCACCGCUUGCCUUAAUAUUAGUAAAAGAAGUGCCAAAGAACUGAGAAACUUACCCCAAAAAAAGAUAAAGACCUUUGCUAAUAGACUGAAGUAGGAAGUAGAAAAUAUUAGAUAGUAUAAGAAGAUGAGUUUACCAAUAACAAAAAUCCUUUUGUGAAAUUGUACAAAACUAAACUUAAAUCACCUAAUGAAAUCAGAAAUGCAACGUAAUUAUAGAAUUUAAGUAGUUUUUCAAUAAUUAAUCCAACUUGAAAAUACAUCUCUUCUUCCUAGGUUUCAAUCCUCCUUUGUUCUGUCAUAAUCGAUGCUUUAUCAAUUAUCAAUACAUUCAAUUGUUAGUAUUCUGUUCACUGUAAACAACCUUUAAGGCAGGGGAGUAACUUCAUGAUUCAAGUUCGCCUAAACAUAAAAAUGGCAAGGCCUUCUCAAUUUAAUAAUCCUAUAAGGAGGUCAUUUAUAUACAAACAUUUCACAAUGCGAAAGAAAAGUUCUUCAACGAAUGCCAGACCCAAAAAUACGUAGAUAUACAAACUACAAAUAAUUAUUGAAAUCAUGUAGUUAAAUAAUACUAAGCAUGUUGGAUGAACGUGGAAGAAUAUUAACAUAAGAAGUCGCCAAUUAGUAAAACUAAUUUACUGAAAAUAUAGAAUAAGGUAGUUUCGAACAUGUCAAAAAUUUGUUGCUACGCAUAAGUGAGAAAAAUCUAGAAAUAUGUUUAUUGCUCUCAUUUAUGUAUAAAAACUUACCUCGCCUUAAAAGUUUCUUCUCUAGCACUAUUUGACACAUUAGGCGAGCAUCCUAGAAUAUACAAUUCUUAUCCAAACAAUUCAGCUCAUCCUAGUUUUGUUGCAGGAUGUUUAGAAACUGGUCCUUCGCAUUCCACACACCACCAACUUUGACUUCUUCUAUCUGAUAUGCACGACUACGAUAUAUUGAUUAACAAAAGGAGGGGAAGCCAAACAUCAAUAUCUACCCACAUCAAUGUCUAAUUUCUUUUACAAUCACAUAUGAAUGUUUAUAGAUAUAAUGAGUUUUGAUCUAGCAUCCUGGUCAGCAGCUUACCAUUUUUCACCAUACGUCAAUCCAACACACCUCUUCACAUAGUUUCAUUUUCUCUUCAAUACCAUACUGCUAUUCGAAAUUGUAAUACAAAAUGCCUAGAAAUUACAAAUAUGUAUUUAAUGCCAAAAUCGGUAUCAGUUGAAUCAACUUACCCACCUCUCCUGACAGUCAAGUGGCGUUCAAAUAGACUUUGAGCGCAAAACCAGUCAAAUUGAAUUCAUCUAAGAAUAACCCACAAAGUUCACACGAAAGAUAAGUAUUGAAUCUCUCAAAAUAGCAAAAUACAGCCAACAAUAUCUUUUCAAUUUCUUUAGAAGUAGAAAAGAUAUCUCUAAAAUAAUCCCUCUUCAGAAAUACUGGAUUAUGUAGGGACAAGAUACCUGAAAUACAGGCCAAAGACAACGAAGAGCCCUAGCAAUAAUUCAUAUUCACAAGAACGGAACUAAGGUAUACCCACCAAUAAAAAUAUAUAAACAAAGAAAUACCUUCAAAAAUUCAGCCAACAAUCCCUCAGAAGAGAAGAAUUAAUAGCAAACAUCACACCAAAAUCAAAAGAGAACAUAAAUUUGGAUGUGAACAGAGAGAAAUUUCUAAUACUCUUUCACCUGCUUUGAGAGGGAGAGAGUAAUGUGCAGUACUACUUUAGUACACGUAUUCUCUUGCAAAGAAAAAGAAGUACACGUGGUUAGAAGUAC